AGUGGCUCUCAACCUUCCUAAUGCUGCCACACUUUAAUACAGUUCCUCAUGUGGUGGUGACCCCAACCAUGGUAUUUUCAUUGCUUCAUCAUAACUGCAAUUUUGCUGCUGCUAUGAAUCAUAACUAAUAAACCUUCCUGAAGAGAAGAAAACACAGAAAAAUAAUCUCCUGGGGAAUCAUGGACUAGGACUGCAGACAGAGUAAACUGGCUCAGCUCUAUACCAAGGUGCUGGAAUCUCAGUGCUCAGUUCUUCUAGAACACUGUUUCUCCAGGAGUGGCCUCCAGACAACUUGGAA
This 298-nucleotide long non-coding RNA is filed under the name Cricetulus griseus (Chinese hamster). Its description in RNAcentral is "lncRNA (ENSCGRG00015029179.1)". The record is from RNAcentral. Lineage: Eukaryota; Metazoa; Chordata; Mammalia; Rodentia; Cricetidae.